GUAGGUGGCAAGCGUUGUCCGGAAUUAUUGGGCGUAAAGCGCGCGCAGGCGGUUCUUUAAGUCUGAUGUGAAAGCCCACGGGCUCAACCGUGGAGGGUCAUUGGAAACUGGAGAACUUGAGUACAGAAGAGGAAAGCGGAAUUCCACGUGUAGCGGUGAAAUGCGUAGAGAUGUGGAGGAACACCAGUGGCGAAGGCGGCUUUCUGGUCUGUAACUGACGCUGAGGCGCGAAAGCGUGGGGAACAAACAGGAUUAGAUACCCUGGUAGUCCACGCCGUAAACGAUGAGUGCUAAGUGUUAGGGGGUUUCCGCCCCUUAGUGCUGCAGCUAACGCAUUAAGCACUCCGCCUGGGGAGUACGGCCGCAAAGGCUG
RNAcentral lists this ribosomal RNA (373 nucleotides) under uncultured organism. Its description in RNAcentral is "partial 16S ribosomal RNA". It matches the Rfam family "Bacterial small subunit ribosomal RNA", at positions 527 to 896 of the family's 1533-position model. The record is from RNAcentral.